This is a non-coding RNA of Fukomys damarensis (Damara mole-rat), 72 nucleotides long. The record is from Rfam. Lineage: Eukaryota; Metazoa; Chordata; Mammalia; Rodentia; Bathyergidae.
UGGUAUGUAGCUCAGUGGUAGAGCACUUGCCUAGCAUGCAUAAGGGCCUGAGUUUGAUCCCCAGCUUGACAA